UUCUUUAAAAAUUGUAUGGAGUUGGAACAGCUUACCUUCGUCUGUCGCUAGGGGCGCUGUUCCAACUCCAUUCAAAUUUGAGUUA
Molecule: non-coding RNA, 85 nt
Organism: Bombyx mori (domestic silkworm)
Lineage: Eukaryota; Metazoa; Arthropoda; Insecta; Lepidoptera; Bombycidae
Source: Rfam